This 28-nucleotide small RNA is filed under the name Bombyx mori (domestic silkworm). RNAcentral's name for it is "ovarian small RNA-31265". Lineage: Eukaryota; Metazoa; Arthropoda; Insecta; Lepidoptera; Bombycidae. The record is from RNAcentral.
UGACAAAAGCUAAGGUAUUGCCAACAAU